GGUUUUACAACGACCCGAAGCUGGUGCUGUUGGACGAAAAUGCCACUCGAGAUAACUGCUUUAGUGCCGUCGACGCUUUUGGAUACGUUUCUCAGUUAUCUGUGAGGAUUAUCGUGGAACUUCACAAAUGGACAGUCUUCGUGGGAUUCUCCGAAUGUUUGGCUGUUCUUAGCAUAUAUAUACUACUCUAAUUUCGUGUAGUUGAACUGAAGUUGAACUGUCGACAUCUCUAAUUUCUAUUAUUCGUAGUUUCCGAAUUUCCUAUGUUGGACAUGGAAUCUUAAAUUCAUGUCAGUUUUUAAUUUCUAAUAUUCGUAGUUUUGGGAUUUUGUUUAGCUGUACAUAUAUUCUAAUGUUCAAAAUAUUAUGCCAUUUUUUGUUGUUUA
This is a non-coding RNA of Erythranthe guttata (spotted monkey flower), 386 nucleotides long. The record is from RefSeq and is a predicted model, not a curated record. NCBI's taxonomy places the organism in Eukaryota, Viridiplantae, Streptophyta, Magnoliopsida, Lamiales, Phrymaceae.